RNAcentral lists this small nucleolar RNA (93 nucleotides) under Exophiala oligosperma. Its description in RNAcentral is "A. fumigatus snoRNA Afu_190". It matches the Rfam family "A. fumigatus snoRNA Afu_190". Lineage: Eukaryota; Fungi; Ascomycota; Eurotiomycetes; Chaetothyriales; Herpotrichiellaceae. RNAcentral also lists the same sequence under 1 other name. The record is from Rfam by way of RNAcentral.
ACAUGAUGAGACUCCAGCUGGCACCAGUCUGAGAAGACUUGUACUCUUUAAAUGCGGAUCAGCUUUUACAUGGCAAUAAGCCUACAAUCUGAA